This is a non-coding RNA of Pelobates cultripes (western spadefoot toad), 201 nucleotides long. The record is from the annotation of a GenBank genome assembly. NCBI's taxonomy places the organism in Eukaryota, Metazoa, Chordata, Amphibia, Anura, Pelobatidae.
CUCUUUUCGGCUAGAAAACCUGUGCGGUCGGUCAAAUCUUCAAAGACCCAUAACUCCCGAACCCCUCAACCGAAUGGACUGAAAUUUGGAUAUAUUGUUCCCCUGAGUGAGAGCUAUUAAGCGGUGCUGGCGAUUGAACUAUGCGUAUGGGAUCUGAGCGCUAUUCGCCAAUAAUAUGCACUCAGAUCCAGGCUAUCUGGG